This 253-nucleotide ribosomal RNA is filed under the name uncultured bacterium. RNAcentral describes it as "partial 16S ribosomal RNA". It matches the Rfam family "Bacterial small subunit ribosomal RNA", at positions 524 to 776 of the family's 1533-position model. The record is from RNAcentral.
UACGUAGGGUGCAAGCGUUGUCCGGAAUUAUUGGGCGUAAAGAGCUCGUAGGCGGUCGGUCACGUCGGGAGUGAAAACCUGGGGCUUAACCCCGGGCCUGCUUUCGAUACGGGCAGACUAGAGUUCGGCAGGGGAGACUGGAAUUCCUGGUGUAGCGGUGAAAUGCGCAGAUAUCAGGAGGAACACCGGUGGCGAAGGCGGGUCUCUGGGCCGAUACUGACGCUGAGGAGCGAAAGCGUGGGGAGCGAACAGG